This 459-nucleotide ribosomal RNA is filed under the name uncultured bacterium. RNAcentral describes it as "partial 16S ribosomal RNA". It matches the Rfam family "Bacterial small subunit ribosomal RNA", at positions 338 to 795 of the family's 1533-position model. The record is from RNAcentral.
CCUACGGGUGGCAGCAGUGAGGAAUAUUGGUCAAUGGGCGCAAGCCUGAACCCGCAAAGUCGCGUGAGUGAAGAAGGUCCUAUGGAUUGUAAACCUCUUUUGUAGGGGAGCAAAAGACGCCACGCGUGUCGUUCCGAGAGUACCCGAAGAAAAAGCAUCGUCUAACUCCGUGCCAGCAGCCGCGGUAAUACGGAGGAUGCGAGUGUUAUACGGAUGUAUUGGGUGUAAAGGGUGCGCAGGCGGAAGAUAAUGUCAGCGGUAAAAUUGAGAGGCUCAACCUCUUCGAGCCGUUGAAACUGGUUUUCUUGAGUGAGUGAGAAGUAUGCGGAAUGCGUGGUGUAGCGGUGAAAUGCAUAGAUAUUACGCAGAACUCCGAUGGCGAAGGCAGCAUACCGGCGCUCAACUGACGCUCAUGCACGAAAGUGAGGGUAUCGAACAGGAUUAGAUACCCCUGUAGUC